CAGUCGCCGCGGUAACACGUAGGGUGCAAGCGUUAAUCGGAAUUACUGGGCGUAAAGCGUGCGCAGGCGGUUUUGUAAGACAGAGGUGAAAUCCCCGGGCUCAACCUGGGAACUGCCUUUGUGACUGCAAGGCUAGAGUACGGCAGAGGGGGAUGGAAUUCCGCGUGUAGCAGUGAAAUGCGUAGAUAUGCGGAGGAACACCGAUGGCGAAGGCAAUCCCCUGGGCCUGUACUGACGCUCAUGCACGAAAGCGUGGGGAGCAAACAGGAUUAGAGACCCCCGUAGUCCCUGUCUCUUAUAC
This 301-nucleotide ribosomal RNA is filed under the name uncultured bacterium. RNAcentral's name for it is "partial 16S ribosomal RNA". It matches the Rfam family "Bacterial small subunit ribosomal RNA", at positions 509 to 807 of the family's 1533-position model. The record is from RNAcentral.